UGAACGCUAGCGGCAGGCCUAAUACAUGCAAGUCGUACGGUAACAUGAGUAGCAAUACUUGAUGACGAGUGGCGCACGGGUGCGUAACGCGUGUGCAAUCUACCUUUAACCGGUGAAUAGCCCGAAGAAAUUCGGAUUAAUACACCAUAGUAUUGUUUGUUGGCAUCAACAGACAAUUAAAACUCCGGUGGUUAAAGAUGAGCAUGCGUGACAUUAGCUAGUUGGUGAGGUAAUGGCUCACCAAGGCUACGAUGUCUAGGGGAUCUGGGAGGAUUAACCCCCACACUGGUACUGAGACACGGACCAGACUCCUACGGGAGGCAGCAGUAAGGAAUAUUGGACAAUGGUCGCAAGACUGAUCCAGCCAUGCCGCGUGAAGGAUGAAGGCCCUAUGGGUUGUAAACUUCUUUUGUAUGGGAAAAAACCCUUCUACGUGUAGAAGGCUGAUGGUACCAUAAGAAUAAGGAUCGGCUAACUCCGU
Molecule: ribosomal RNA, 481 nt
Filed under: uncultured bacterium
Lineage: Bacteria
Description: bacterial SSU rRNA
Rfam family: Bacterial small subunit ribosomal RNA
Source: RNAcentral